RNAcentral lists this long non-coding RNA (336 nucleotides) under Setaria italica (foxtail millet). Its description in RNAcentral is "long non-coding RNA (SITA_LNC003954)". The record is from RNAcentral. Lineage: Eukaryota; Viridiplantae; Streptophyta; Magnoliopsida; Poales; Poaceae.
GCCAGUUCCGGCGGGAUGGUACCGGUGAGCCCGUUGUAGUCGAGGAUGAGAUGCUCGAGCUUGCGCAUAUUUUCCAGGGAUGCCGGAAUCUCGCCCUCCAAGAAGUUCUGCCACAGGAUGAGGUCCCGGAGCUCCCCGAGCUUCCCGAGGGAUGCAGGGAGUGUGCCGUUGAUGUUGUUGAGGCUGAGGUCGAGAGAUUCGAGCCUGGUGCAGUUGGUGAUUGACUCCGGGAUCGCGCCGGAGAGGUAGUUGUUCUGGAGGUACAGCAUGCGGAGGCUGGAGUUGGGGUCUUGGCAGAGGGAGGAAGGGAUGGUGCCGGAGAAAGCGUUGGAGCUG